RNAcentral lists this ribosomal RNA (372 nucleotides) under uncultured bacterium. RNAcentral describes it as "bacterial SSU rRNA". It matches the Rfam family "Bacterial small subunit ribosomal RNA", at positions 524 to 896 of the family's 1533-position model. The record is from RNAcentral.
UACGUAGGGUGCGAGCGUUAAUCGGAAUUACUGGGCGUAAAGCGUGCGCAGGCGGUUAUUUAAGACAGGCGUGAAAGCCCCGGGCUUAACCUGGGAGGUGCGCUUGUGACUGGAUAGCUAGAGUACGGCAGAGGGGGGUGGAAUUCCACGUGUAGCAGUGAAAUGCGUAGAGAUGUGGAGGAACACCGAUGGCGAAGGCAGCCCCCUGGGCUAGUACUGACGCUCAGGCACGAAAGCGUGGGGAGCAAACAGGAUUAGAUACCCUGGUAGUCCACGCCCUAAACGAUGUCAACUGGUUGUCGGGGGGGUUACUCCUUGGUAACGAAGCUAACGCGUGAAGUUGACCGCCUGGGGAGUACGGCCGCAAGGUUG